Molecule: long non-coding RNA, 209 nt
Filed under: Elaeis guineensis (African oil palm)
Lineage: Eukaryota; Viridiplantae; Streptophyta; Magnoliopsida; Arecales; Arecaceae
Description: long non-coding RNA (EGUI_LNC017797)
Source: RNAcentral
UCAUAUCUUUCCUCAUCAUUGCUUGGACGGACCAUUUAAAAAUAUCAAAUAAGAAUGCAACAAAUGUCAACAUUCGGUUGGCUUAUCAGCUUGGGCAUGGAUCGAUCUGAUGUGGCAGAAUCUGAGGGACGGUGCAUCUAACCGCCAUAUGAAUGAGUGUUGGAUUGACAUCAGGUGGCACAAAUCGAUAAGGUGACCAAUUAAUCUUG